GAUGAACGCUGGCGGCGUGCCUAAUACAUGCAAGUCGAGCGAACGGACGAGAAGCUUGCUUCUCUGAUGUUAGCGGCGGACGGGUGAGUAACACGUGGAUAACCUACCUAUAAGACUGGGAUAACUUCGGGAAACCGGAGCUAAUACCGGAUAAUAUUUUGAACCGCAUGGUUCAAAAGUGAAAGACGGUCUUGCUGUCACUUAUAGAUGGAUCCGCGCUGCAUUAGCUAGUUGGUAAGGUAACGGCUUACCAAGGCAACGAUGCAUAGCCGACCUGAGAGGGUGGUCGGCCACACUAGAACUGAGACAGGGUCCAGACUCCUACGGGAGGCAGCAGUAGGGAAUCUUCCGCAAUGGGCGAAAGCCUGACGGAGCAACGCCGCGUGAGAGAUGAAGGUCUUCGGAUCGUAAAACUCUGUUAUUAGGGAAGAACAUAUGUGUAAGUAACUGUGCACAUCUUGACGGUACCUAAUCAGAAAGCCACGGCUAACUACGUG
RNAcentral lists this ribosomal RNA (497 nucleotides) under uncultured bacterium. RNAcentral's name for it is "partial 16S ribosomal RNA". It matches the Rfam family "Bacterial small subunit ribosomal RNA", at positions 28 to 507 of the family's 1533-position model. The record is from RNAcentral.